GCUACCGAUCGAGGAGUGUGUGAAAAGCUUGGAUCAUCGGAGUGACUAAAUCUAGUCAUCAACUUCGGUAAAGGAGAAAUCGCAUAGGAGAUCUCGUCAAGGAAUAUCGCAAAUCAGGUGAGCCUUGAUGUGGGGACUUGGGCCGGAGGGGAUUUAGAGUGGCCACGGUGAUCGUCUUUGGGCUUUUAAAUAAGCGUUGGUUUUCAUUAAAUUUCCUUUAUUAUUUAUUUUUGGUUUGUAAUAAGGCCAUUUUU
Gossypium arboreum is the source of this 254-nucleotide long non-coding RNA. RefSeq lists it as uncharacterized. Lineage: Eukaryota; Viridiplantae; Streptophyta; Magnoliopsida; Malvales; Malvaceae. The transcript is spliced from 3 exons. The record is from RefSeq and is a predicted model, not a curated record.